AAACUCUCAGGAUCUCACCUGGAGAGUUUCCAUUACUCUACCAGUCUCGACUAUGGGAGGGAGAGUCAAAGCAGAGGCCUAUCCAUUCCAUUCCUAGCUUGGGCAAUGGCUAGCGAGGCGAAGGCAAUCUGCUACAAGU
Ornithorhynchus anatinus (platypus) is the source of this 139-nucleotide non-coding RNA. The record is from Rfam. NCBI's taxonomy places the organism in Eukaryota, Metazoa, Chordata, Mammalia, Monotremata, Ornithorhynchidae.